CAGAAUAUAACUUAAUUAAAGUACUUCGCUUACACCGAAUUUAUGCCUAUUAAUCUAGGCUAUUCUGAG
This 69-nucleotide transfer RNA is filed under the name Pristimantis labiosus. Its description in RNAcentral is "tRNA-Val". The record is from RNAcentral. Lineage: Eukaryota; Metazoa; Chordata; Amphibia; Anura; Strabomantidae.